UUACUUGACUAGAGCUAAAGUAGUGACACAACUAGUUUCCAUUCAUGGGAUGAUGGAUAAAUUCUACUAGUAUAAAAAAAGACGACAUGUAAUACAACAUUUACACCAUUCAACUUUAUGUUUUUCAUCCAUUAAUCCCCUCAGCUCCCAUAACCUUUAAAUAUAACAAAAACAAAAGUGCAAUUCAACCAUGAAAACGCUACAAUACAUAAUCUUACUUUGUUGGGUUGUUCUGUUAUGCUACCCGAGUCAUGCUAUCAAGUGUAUCGACGGCGAGAGAAAAGCUUUGCUUCGAUUCAAGCAAGGAAUUGAAUCUGAUAACUGUGGGCUUCUAUCUUCAUGGGGAGAUAUAGAAGAUUGCUGCCAAUGGCGUGGUAUUCGCUGCAGCAAUCGUACUGGUCAUGUCAUCAUGCUUCAUCUUCGAGGUUGGAUUAAUGUCAUUGAGUUCACCUCGGGUUGUUUGGAAGGUAAGUUGGACCCUUCCCUGUUUGAGCUAACACAUUUGAAAUAUUUGGACCUUAGUAAAAAUGGUUUCAUCCAGACUAUACCCAGUUCCAUAGAUUCCCUCACUGAGUUAGAGUACCUCAAUUUAUCUAGUGCUGGCUUUUUUGGUGAAAUUCCUCCCCAACUCGGAAACCUUUCCAAAUUAGCAUCUCUUGAUCUCACUCCCCAGUCCUAUGAAGUCACUUUUAAAAGCUUGCAGUGGAUGUCCCAUCUUACAUUGUUGAGAGAGAUCCACCUUAGUGAUAGUGAUCUUAGUGAAGCCACCAACUGGUUCCAAACCAUCAACAAUCUUCCUUCCCUAAAGAUCCUUUACUUGGAUUAUUGUCAGCUUCCUGCUACAUUUCCGUCAUCAUCACUUUCAUACAUCAAUUCCUCCACCUCUCUUCGUGUUAUUAGCCUUGGUGGUAAUAAUUUCAAUACCACUUCAAUAUUCAAGUGGUUGUUCAAUAUGAGUAGAAAUGGUAACCAACUUGAAUAUCUUGACCUUUCUGAUAACUUACUUUCAGGGCCUGUUCCAAGAUCAUUUGGGAAGUACAUGUACUCCCUUUCAUAUCUUUACUUUGAUGAUAAUUAUUUUGAAGGUUCCAUUCCUAUCACAUUUUCAAACUUGAGGGCCUUGAGAGAACUCUCAUUCUAUAACAAUAAACUUAAUGGUCCCCUUUUAAAUGUCUUACAAGCUCUAUCAUGUGGGUGUGCGAACAAGCCACUUUUAGAGCAUCUGGAUUUGAGUAUGAAUCAGUUCUGGGGCUCUAUUCCGAACACGAUUAAUAGUUUUACAUCAAUCAAAGAAUUAUAUCUUUAUGAUAAUCAUCUGAAUGGAACAAUCAGUCAAAGUAUUGGGCAACUUUCUAUGCUUGAGAUUUUGGAUGUUUUUAAUAAUUCCUUAAAAGCUACUCUCAACCACAACCACUUCUUAAAUCUCUCACGGUUGCAAAUAUUAGACUUGUCAGCCAACCCGGCACUAGUGCUUGACUCAAUCAAAAUUUUGAAUCCCUACUUUCAUUUGAACGUUAUACGUUUGAGAUCUUGCAAGUUGGGCCCUUCCUUCCCAAACUGGCUUCUAACUCAGACUAAUUUCUCCUAUCUUGAUAUAUCCAAUGCUCAAAUUUCUGGUGAAAUUCCUCCUUCCUUUUGGACAAGAUCGUUGUCGCCCAAUCUAAGGUAUAUAAACAUGUCUCACAAUAUGAUUCAGGGGGUGCUCCCUAAUUUGUCAGCAUCCUUUGACAACCUCAAAGUUAUUGACUUCAGCUCAAACUACUUUGAAGGAUCGAUCCCAUCUUUUGUUGGAGACAAAAAUGUUGAGUCAGUACGCCUGAAUGAUAACACGUUUUCGGAUGCCACUCAACUAUUUUGUCCAAGAAUAGCUAAUUCGAAGCUAGUAGAGCUUGAUGUAUCAAACAAUUUAUUGUCUGGAAGACUUCCAAAUUGUUUGAUGAAAAGGGAUCAACUCCAAUAUUUGCACUUGGAAAACAAUAAAUUCACUGGAAAUAUACCAACAUCCAUUGGUGACCUACUACAACUCCAAUAUUUGCACCUGCAAAAUAAUAGUUUUUCAGGAAAGCUCCCUAGUUCAAUGUUGAACUGUAUGUCCUUAUAUUUUUUAGAUCUUGGGUAUAAUUCUUUAACUGGCUAUAUACCACCAAGCAUUGGAAAUGCUUUUGAAUAUCUCGCAUAUCUUAACUUACGUGGAAACAAGUUUUUUGGAAAAUUGCCUUUAAGCCUUUGUCAAUUAUCCAAUCUUCACAUGUUAGAUAUUGCCAUGAACCACAUAUCAGGCCCUAUUCCAAAUUGCAUAUAUAAUUUUACAGCGAUGAUGAGCGGGUCAAAAGACCUACAGUUUGAUAAUACUGGUGUUGACGUUGGUGAAGAUUACAUCGUUGGCUUGUUUAAGGAAGCUGCAAUGAUUGAGUGGAAAAGAGAAGAGCAAAGAUUUGCAGGAACUUCAUUAAGACUAGUGAAUUAUAUUGAUAUGUCAAAUAAUGAGCUAGAAGGUGAAAUCCCAGAUGGAAUCUCAAAUCUUACUAAGUUACUAUCCCUCGAUUUAUCAAGAAACAAGUUGACCGGAAUCAUUCCAUCAAAUAUUGGGCAGCUUGCAUCAUUAGAAUUUCUGGAUUUAUCAAACAAUCACCUGUCUGGAGUUAUACCUCGAAGCCUUGCUGAUGUUAGCUCUCUGGCAAUCUUGGAUUUGUCAAACAACAACUUGUCAGGGAGGAUUCCACUCGGAACUCAGCUACGAGGUUUUGAUCCUUCAUCGUACAUGGGAAACCCAUUACUUUGCGGGGCUCCACGUCAAGGUUGUGCAGGAGACGAACCACCACCCGCCAUGACAAUAAAUAAUGGAACAAAUGUCACUCAUCAGGAGGAGCAUGGAAUUGACACUUUUUAUUUAGGGUUGUACAUCAGUGUGGUGCUCGGAUUUAUUGUGGGAUUCUGGGGAGUUUGUGGGACUUUAGUGGUGAAGAGAACAUGGAGACAUGCGUUUUUCAGCUUCUUUGGUGACAUCAAAGACAAGAUUUAUGUCAUGGUGGUGUUGAAUGUAGCCAGAAUUUGGAGGAAAGAUUGAAGGUAAUUAUUCAUAAAUUUAUUAUUGGUUCAAUAUUACAGGUACAGUUUAAAUCAACUAAGCAAAGAUUAUCUAAUUUCUGCUUUCUUAUUUUUUUUUUCGUGUAGGUGGGUGCCUGGGUGGUGACUUCUUUUUCUGGUGCAUUCUCCAACUUGCAUUUUCAACCUAUUUAUAAGGUUGAUCCGUCUGUCGAGCUUCUGAGCAGUGGCUUGAACAAGAAAGGAUUGUUGUUUAUGUUUUUUACUAAGUCAAUAAUUAAUAGUUGUGUGUAUGUUUAUAAUUAAUAGUUGUGUGUAUGCUUAUAAUUUAUAAAUUUUUCUGCUAGUUACAAUCCACUUGACUUAUUACGCAUUUUUUUAAAUAAUGUGUAUGUUUAGUUAGUGCCUUUAGAUCUUAAACAAAAAAUAAUUCCGAAAAAAAGUGGUUUCAAACUAAAAGUGACAGAAGUUUUUUUUUUUUUUUUUUUUGUAAAAAAAAAUAAAAUUAAGCGUUUACUUAGCUAAAUAAUCAAUUUAAGGUUCUCUGUUUGUUGGCUGAAUUGUAUAGAAUAAGCUAGUGGACAGAAAUUGCUAUGAAAAAACUAACAAGAAUAUCUUUGGCCAUUACUGUGAAGUUUACUAACCAUAAUUUGACAUAAUCAUAUUCUUAAGUUAGUUGAAAUUUAUUCAUACAUAAGAAAUACCCAAUAUCUACGCCCAAUAAUAUUAAUGGUCUUUCACUGGCCCAAUACCCAAUAAUAUCUGUGUCAAAAAAAAAAAAAAAAAAAA
RNA transcript from Chenopodium quinoa (quinoa), 3834 nucleotides. It is a transcript of the gene named LRR receptor-like serine/threonine-protein kinase GSO2, with no coding region annotated. The transcript has 2 exons. NCBI's taxonomy places the organism in Eukaryota, Viridiplantae, Streptophyta, Magnoliopsida, Caryophyllales, Amaranthaceae. The record is from RefSeq and is a predicted model, not a curated record.